UGGGGAAUUUUGGACAAUGGGCGAAAGCCUGAUCCAGCAAUGCCGCGUGUGUGAAGAAGGCCUUCGGGUUGUAAAGCACUUUUGUCCGGAAAGAAAUCCUUGGCUCUAAUACAGUCGGGGGAUGACGGUACCGGAAGAAUAAGCACCGGCUAACUACGUGCCAGCAGCCGCGGUAAUACGUAGGGUGCAAGCGUUAAUCGGAAUUACUGGGCGUAAAGCGUGCGCAGGCGGUUUGCUAAGACCGAUGUGAAAUCCCCGGGCUCAACCUGGGAACUGCAUUGGUGACUGGCAGGCUAGAGUAUGGCAGAGGGGGGUAGAAUUCCACGUGUAGCAGUGAAAUGCAUAGAGAUGUGGAGGAAUACCGAUGGCGAAGGCAGCCCCCUGGGCCAAUACUGACGCUCAUGCACGAAAGCGUGGGGAGCAAACAGGAUUAGAUACCCUGGUAGUCCACGCCCUAAAACGAUGUCAACUAGUUGUUGGGGAUUCAUUUCCUUAGUAACGUAGCUAACGCGUGAAGUUGACCGCCUGGGGAGUACGGUCGCAAGAUUAAAACUCAAAUGAAUUGACGGGGUCAUAGCUGUUUCCU
This 586-nucleotide ribosomal RNA is filed under the name uncultured bacterium. RNAcentral's name for it is "partial 16S ribosomal RNA". It matches the Rfam family "Bacterial small subunit ribosomal RNA", at positions 355 to 1375 of the family's 1533-position model. The record is from RNAcentral.